RNAcentral lists this small nucleolar RNA (138 nucleotides) under Chlamydomonas reinhardtii. Its description in RNAcentral is "CrACA06a snoRNA". Lineage: Eukaryota; Viridiplantae; Chlorophyta; Chlorophyceae; Chlamydomonadales; Chlamydomonadaceae. The record is from RNAcentral.
GCGCCUUUAAAGCACCGCGUAGCGUCCUGAGUCGCGACUGCGGUUUUGCAGCGGUGCCAGAGUGACCUGCGGGUGUCGGAACUGGGCUAGCUGCUACUCAACCCGUGCGGCAUGCCCCUUUCUCCACUCGCCACAACC